AUCUAAAGAUUUGUCCUCUGCCUCUACCCUCUCUACAGAUCUUUAUAAAUCUAGCUUAGAUCUUAGUCCCCGGGUGGGUAGAAUGGCUCGGACACCAGUACGAGGAAAAAAGAUAAAAAGUAUAUCAGAACUUAUCAAAGAUGCUGAGGAGCGAAAAGAAAAGAUAAAUGAGGCCGGUGGAAGUAUGCCGGAUGAAGUGAAAGAAAUGAUGGGUUUGCUACCAGGAAGAUCAUCCAAG
Long non-coding RNA from Eurytemora carolleeae, 238 nucleotides. RefSeq lists it as uncharacterized. The transcript is spliced from 3 exons. The record is from RefSeq and is a predicted model, not a curated record. NCBI's taxonomy places the organism in Eukaryota, Metazoa, Arthropoda, Copepoda, Calanoida, Temoridae.